This 339-nucleotide ribosomal RNA is filed under the name uncultured microorganism. RNAcentral describes it as "bacterial SSU rRNA". It matches the Rfam family "Archaeal small subunit ribosomal RNA", at positions 330 to 622 of the family's 1478-position model. The record is from RNAcentral.
GUGCACCAGGCGAGAAACCUUCGCAAUGCAGGAAACUGCGACGAGGGAACUCCAAGUGCCUACGCUCAGCGUAGGCUGUUCUCAAGCCUAGAAAGCUUGAGGAGUAAGGGCUGGAUAAGACGGGUGCCAUCUGUGGUAGCAGUCAAUAGAUUCGAUUUGUUACUGCAAGGCAUAAGCCGCCGCGGUAAUACCCGCAGCCCAAGUGGUGGCCGCUUUUAUUGGGGCCUAAAGCGUCCGUAGCCGGCCCGGUAAAUGCCUGGGGUAAAUCGUGGAGCCCAACGUUCACGAAUUCCGGGUAGACUGCCGAGCUCGGGACCGGAAGAGGGAGAGGGUACUUCA